Molecule: ribosomal RNA, 791 nt
Filed under: uncultured bacterium
Lineage: Bacteria
Description: bacterial SSU rRNA
Rfam family: Bacterial small subunit ribosomal RNA
Source: RNAcentral
CAAGCUAGAGUGUNUCAGAGGGGGGUAGAAUUCCACGUGUAGCAGUGAAAUGCGUAGAGAUGUGGAGGAAUACCGAUGGCGAAGGCAGCCCCCUGGGAUAACACUGACGUUCAUGCUCGAAAGCGUGGGUAGCAAACAGGAUUAGAUACCCUGGUAGUNCACGCCCUAAACGAUGUCAAUUAGCUGUUGGGCAACUUGAUUGCUUAGUAGCGUAGCUAACGCGUGAAAUUGACCGCCUGGGGAGUACGGUCGCAAGAUUAAAACUCAAAGGAAUUGACGGGGACCCGCACAAGCGGUGGAUGAUGUGGAUUAAUUCGAUGCAAUGCGAAGAACCUUACCUGGUCUUGACAUGUACGGAAUCUNUCAGAGACGGGAGAGUGCCUUCGGGAGCCGUAACACAGGUGCUGCAUGGCUGUCGUCAGCUCGUGUCGUGAGAUGUUGGGUUAAGUCCCGCAACGAGCGCAACCCUUGUCAUUAGUUGCCAUCAUUAAGUUGGGCACUCUAAUGAGACUGCCGGUGACAAACCGGAGGAAGGUGGGGAUGACGUCAAGUCCUCAUGGCCCUUAUGACCAGGGCUUCACACGUCAUACAAUGGUCGGUACAGAGGGUCGCCAAGCCGCGAGGUGGAGCCAAUCUCACAAAACCGAUCGUAGUCCGGAUUGCACUCUGCAACUCGAGUGCAUGAAGUCGGAAUCGCUAGUAAUCGCAGGUCAGCAUACUGCGGUGAAUACGUUCCCGGGUCUUGUACACACCGCCCGUCACACCAUGGGAGUGGGGGAUACCAGAAGUAG